RNAcentral lists this ribosomal RNA (443 nucleotides) under uncultured bacterium. RNAcentral's name for it is "partial 16S ribosomal RNA". It matches the Rfam family "Bacterial small subunit ribosomal RNA", at positions 338 to 795 of the family's 1533-position model. The record is from RNAcentral.
CCUACGGGAGGCAGCAGUGGGGAAUAUUGGGCAAUGGACGCAAGUCUGACCCAGCAAAGCCGCGUGAAGGAAGAAGGCCUUCGGGUUGUAAAGUUCUUUUAUUAGGGACGUAAAAAGUGACGGUACCGCAGGAAUAAGCCUCGGCUAACUACGUGCCAGCAGCCGCGGUAAUACGUAGGCGGCAAGCGUUAUCCGGAUUUAUGGGGUUUAAAGGUAGUGUAGGUGGGUUGGCAAGUCAGAUGUGAAAUCUUGGGGGUUAACCCUGAGACUGCAUUUGAAACUGGUAGUCUUGAGUGCAGUAGAGGUAAGCGGAAUUCGUGGUGUAGCGGUGAAAUGCGUAGAUAUCAGGAGGAACCCCAGUGGCGAAGGCGGCUUACUAGACUGUAACUGACGCUGAGGCUCGAAAGUGUGGGGAGCAAACAGGAUUAGAUACCCGGGUAGUC